This 164-nucleotide ribosomal RNA is filed under the name Disakisperma dubium. Its description in RNAcentral is "5.8S ribosomal RNA". It matches the Rfam family "5.8S ribosomal RNA". Rfam says of the family: 5.8S ribosomal RNA (5.8S rRNA) is a component of the large subunit of the eukaryotic ribosome. It is transcribed by RNA polymerase I as part of the 45S precursor that also contains 18S and 28S rRNA. Functionally, it is thought that 5.8S rRNA may be involved in ribosome translocation. Lineage: Eukaryota; Viridiplantae; Streptophyta; Magnoliopsida; Poales; Poaceae. The record is from RNAcentral.
CACAUGACUCUCGGCAACGGAUAUCUCGGCUCUUGCAUCGAUGAAGAACGUAGCAAAAUGCGAUACCUGGUGUGAAUUGCAGAAUCCCGUGAACCAUCGAGUUUUUGAACGCAAGUUGCGCCCAAGGCCUUUUGGUCGAGGGCACGUCUGCCUGGGCGUCACGC